GGGGGGAGCGCCGGAUCCUGGGUUGUGUCCCCGGCGCCCUGGGCUCCGGGGCCUGCGCCGCUGGAAUCUGGAAUGGCGCUCCUGGGGCCGCGCAGCCCCCU
Molecule: microRNA precursor, 101 nt
Filed under: Canis lupus familiaris (dog)
Lineage: Eukaryota; Metazoa; Chordata; Mammalia; Carnivora; Canidae
Also listed under: 1 other name
Description: mir-8799 microRNA precursor family
Rfam family: mir-8799 microRNA precursor family
Source: Rfam by way of RNAcentral